AUGUUCUCACCGAUUUCAUCGUCUGGUAAGCAAAUUCGUGGCUAUGAGUGGACUUUGAGCAAAAACACAUGUUUAUUAAUAAUAUUUCACAUAUUUUAUAGGGCUUUUUUUUAUAAUGACUUAAUCCAAAAGUAUUAAAACGGUGCGCCACUUGGCAGCACCAAAAGAACUUCAACUCCCGAAGUCCUCGUCGGUUCACUUCAGGACGACAGAGCGAGCCCCCAUAGAAUCUCAUACAAACUAUCGCUCCUCCUCAAUCAACCGAAUGUUGGCGUUUACAACAGGGACUGCAGCCCGCUCCUCUACAGCUUGCUGACAACACGGGCUGGACUUUCCAGCCGAGACUUGAGGGAGAAACGUCUAGUGCAAUUCCAGCAAGAUAAGGUUGAAUGUAUCAAAUUUAGGAAAUGGGCGACAGAAACGAUAGAGUCCCAAUGAUGACAGGCAGGACAAGGAGAUCAACCAUCGGCCCCACGCCAGCUGGGGGCAAUUCGAAACAAGCCAAUGGCAGCAAGCAGAGCAGCGCAGGGGAAAAAACGCCAAGCCAUCCGAGCCACAGCAACGGGAAGGUGAAGAAGGAAAAACAGGUGCACGAGCCGGUCAGGACACCACAGGAGAGGAGCAAAAUAUGCGAAAGGCUCAGCUGCCAUGUCCUCCAGGAGUCCCUGCUCAGCUCAGCCAGUGGAUACAGUAACUACAGAGGCAUCCUGAACUGGUGUGUGGUCAUGCUGGUCUUGAGCAAUGCACGCCUUUUCCUGGAGAAUCUUCUAAAAUAUGGGAUAUUGGUGGACCCCAUCCAAGUUGUUUCACUGUUCUUAAAAGACCCAUAUAGCUGGCCUGCACCAUGCCUUGUCAUUGUCUCCAACGUGUUCAUAAUGGCAGCUUUGUACACAGAGCGGAGGCUAUCUGUGGGCACCAUCUCAGAGACGACUGGAACAUUUCUUUACUUGGUCAAUCUGACUACCCUCCUCUGUUUCCCAUCAGCCACUGUGCUCACGCUGACCUCCAUGACCCCAGCUGGUGGAGUCUUUGCCCUGGGUGUGUACACCAUCCUCUUCAUGAAGCUGUACUCAUAUAAAGACGUUAACAUGUGGUGCAGAGAGAUUAGGCAUACCAAAGCCCGCACCCUGACCCGCUCCCAUUCAUGUCCAUCUGUGGCCCAGUCAAAUGGAUCAGCUGUACAUGCUCAUGUGUCCUACCCUGGGAAUCUCACACACAGAGAUAUCUAUUACUUUGUGUUUGCCCCAACACUCUGCUAUGAGCUGAACUUCCCCCGGUCACCACGGAUACGCAAGAGCUUCCUGUUGAGGAGACUCUUUGAGAUGCUUUUCUUCAUACAGUUACUGAUUGGAUUGGUACAACAGUGGAUAGUGCCGACGAUUCAGAAUUCGAUGAAACCAUUCCAGGAUAUGGACUUUUCCAGAAUGAUGGAGCGCAUGUUGAAACUGGCUGUUCCCAAUCAUUUAAUCUGGCUCAUCUUUUUCUAUUGGUUUUUCCACUCUUCCAUGAACUUCGUAGCUGAGCUGAUGCGGUUUGGGGACAGGGAGUUUUACCGGGACUGGUGGAACUCUGAGACGGUCACAUGUUGUUUUGUAGGAACUCUGAGACGGUCACUUACUUCUGGUCUAACUGGAACAUUCCUGUGCACAAGUGGUGCCUCCGCCACUUUUACAAGCCCAUCAUGAGGAGGGGAGCGAAUAAGUGGGUCGCCCAGACGGCCGUCUUCCUGGUCUCCGCCUUCUUUCACGAGUACUUGGUGAGCGUUCCUCUGAAAAUGUUCAGACUGUGGGCGUUUAUGGGCAUGAUGUCUCAGAUUCCCCUUGCCUGGUUUGUUGGCCGCUUCCUGAGAGGUAACCAUGGCAACGCUGCAGUCUGGAUCUCGCUCAUCAUUGGCCAGCCCGUCGCCGUGCUGAUGUACGUCCACGACUACUACGUAAUACAUUACAUGUCACAAUCAUGAACAGUUGGUCGCAAGCAGAGGAGCAAUACAUUAUACUAAAGGACAAAUUGAAUGUCAAAUGUUUACUUUGAAAGGGAAAAAUAUUAUGAAGCUUGACUGAAUAGUAAGAAUGUUACACUAAGUAAAUAGUUUGGCCUCCAGAAACCAUUUCUCUAAUGCACUUAUACAUCAGAGAGACUUGGCUCCCGUCCUAUCAUUGCUGUGAAACACUGCCCUGACAAAACUAGAGAACAUUUGUAGGCCUUUUCUCUGUUUCUUACUUAGUCUACAACUAUGAAGAUCAAUGCAGACAUUCCUAUAGAUAAACCUUACAAAUCGGUGUGCUGCUUUUCCUCAUGUGUUUGACACAUCUUUCUUGCCUUUGAUUAAAUGAUCUGAGUAUAUUAUUUGAAGUUGUGAACUCAUGUGGCUGCAGUAAUAACCAGUCACAUGUAUUGUGCAUAAGUCAAGCCAAAUCUGUUAUUACACUUGUGAAACUAAUGUGUUUGCACUACAAUGCAUGCUGUUUGCUAAUAAAUACACUUUUUUUUUUUGCCAUAAUCUUUGUAAAUGGAACUGGUGGAGUUGUUGCACAUGCAGCUAAGAAAAAUAUGGAAAUGUCUGUUCUACUCCAUUACAACCAACUAAUUGCAGCAUUACCACAAAUGGAAGAGGCAAGUAUAAGGGGGAGAAAGUAAAGAACUUGUCUGUAGGUGCUGCAUUAAAGAAAAUUGUGGUAAAUAAAGUAUACCAGUUUCAAUUUAAGAACCAAGAAAAAUGUACAGCUGCGCCAUAUUGCAAAAUAACUAGGAAGAGAUUUUUAAUGUACUGAUUCCAUGGCACAUGGUUUAUGAACUGAUACACAAAACGACACUGGAUUCAAAACUUAGUUUUUCAAUUAAAAUGAUUUAUACAAAAUUCUUGCAACCAAUAGAAUGUUAUAGGGUAUACAACCAUCCCAGCUCUGCAUAUUUUGCUGCGAAGAGAAUCAUUUGUUUUGGUACUGUCCAUAUGUAGCUUGUUUUUGGUCGCAGGUUCAGGAAUGGCUGACAAAAUGCUACAUUUACCUGGAGUUAACUCUGCAAAUAGCACUGCUGGGUGAUUUUAAAGUCAGUCAAAUCGAUCAAUAAUAUAACUUAGCAAAAAUUGAGGGGGGGGAAGGAAAAUAUAUAUUUACCCAAAAAAAAUAGAUGGGGGAUGAUGCAGACAAUUACAUUGAUAGAAGCCACAAUAUUAAAGCUUAUCUACCCCCUCCCCCAAAUGUACUAAAUAGACAAGUGCUCUUAAGAUGAAUCAGAGCUUAAGUACAAUAAGUUGUUUUAUGCCAAUAUUGCCAUCCUAUUAAAAAGAUGCUGGUGAUCCAAAUAGUAAUAACCAUAUUGAUUGUGUUGUACCAAACAUACAGUAUGCAUUUGUCCCUUUACUCCAUUCCAGACCUUCUGCACUUCAGUGAUCCUUGUUUUGUCACUAGUAUACUGGAACUGUGGUCUAGUUAGCCCUCAACCCUUCAUGUUCAGUAGGACAGUCUAUACAUGCCUUUUUUCUUCAGCAAAUUGCCUACUUAUUCAUGCCCGUGUGCCUGACAUCUCUACAUGAGCCACAUAAACCAAAUCCAGCCUGUAUUCUCACUUCAGAGAAACUAAAGUGCUUAGUUUCUAUUGUCAUUGUAGAAAAUAAGUAUUGGUUGAGUUCGGUUUUAAUUCUUUCUUUACACUUUUCAUUCUUUACACUAUUCAUUCAGGAAGUUUGCUCAUUUACAAUCAAGAUUAGUGUAUAUUUGAUGGGCAGGUAAGAGGUAUUUUCAAAAUGUGAUGUUUGUUUAUACUGUAACUCAACUAAAGAUCUAUUUUAAGCCCCCAAUCUAGUGGGUAAUAUGUUUCUAGAACCUUGAAUACCAGUGUGAAGUCAAAGGAUUGCAUAUGUAGGUGAGAGGGUAGAUUUUUCUAUUAAAUAAAAUCCUGCCUGUGGAACUGUAA
Molecule: RNA transcript, 3915 nt
Organism: Salmo salar (Atlantic salmon)
Lineage: Eukaryota; Metazoa; Chordata; Actinopteri; Salmoniformes; Salmonidae
Gene name: diacylglycerol O-acyltransferase 1
Source: RefSeq, a predicted model, not a curated record